CCUACGGGUGGCUGCAGUGGGGAAUAUUGCACAAUGGGCGAAAGCCUGAUGCAGCGACGCCGCGUGAGUGAUGAAGUACUUCGGGAUGUAAAGCUCUAUCAGCAGGGAAGAAAAUGACGGUACCUGAUGAAGAAGCCGCGGCUAACUACGUGCCAGCAGCCGCGGUUAUACGUAGGGGGCAAGCGUUAUCCGGAGUUACUGGGUGUAAAGGGAGCGUAGAGGGGAACACAAGUCUGGAGUUAAAAUCCGGGGCUUAAACCCCGAACUGCUUUGGAAACUGUGUAGCUUGAGUGCGGGAGAGGUAAGUGGAAUUCCUAGUGUAGCGGUGAAAUGCGUAGAUAUUAGGAGGAACACCAGUAGCGAAGGCAGGUUACUGGACUGUAACUGACGUUGAGGCACGAAAGCGUGGGGAGCAAACAGGAUUAGAUACCCUUGUAGUC
This 440-nucleotide ribosomal RNA is filed under the name uncultured bacterium. RNAcentral's name for it is "partial 16S ribosomal RNA". It matches the Rfam family "Bacterial small subunit ribosomal RNA", at positions 338 to 795 of the family's 1533-position model. The record is from RNAcentral.